GUCUGGUGGGUAGUUUGACUGGGGCGGUCUCCUCCUAAAGAGUAACGGAGGAGCACGAAGGUUGGCUAAUCCUGGUCGGACAUCAGGAGGUUAGUGCAAUGGCAUAAGCAAGCUUGACUGCGAGCGUGACGGCGCGAGCAGGUGCGAAAGCAGGUCAUAGUGAUCCGGUGGUUCUGAAUGGAAGGGCCAUCGCUCAACGGAUAAAAGGUACUCCGGGGAUAACAGGCUGAUACCGCCCAAGAGUUCAUAUCGACGGCGGUGUUUGGCACCUCGAUGUCGGCUCAUCACAUCCUGGGGCUGAAGUAGGUCCCAAGGGUAUGGCUGUUCGCCAUUUAAAGUGGUACGCGAGCUGGGUUUAGAACGUCGUGAGACAGUUCGGUCCCUAUCUGCCGUGGGCGCUGGAGAACUGAGGGGGGCUGCUCCUAGUACGAGAGGACCGGAGUGGACGCAUCACUGGUGUUCGGGUUGUCAUGCCAAUGGCACUGCCCGGUAGCUAAAUGCGGAAGAGAUAAGUGCUGAAAGCAUCUAAGCACGAAACUUGCCCCGAGAUGAGUUCUCCCUGACUCCUUGAGAGUCCUGAAGGAACGUUGAAGACGACGACGUUGAUAGGCCGGGUGUGUAAGCGCAGCGAUGCGUUGAGCUAACCGGUACUAAUGAACCGUGAGGCUUAACCUUACAACGCCGAAGCUGUU
RNAcentral lists this ribosomal RNA (692 nucleotides) under Alkalicoccobacillus porphyridii. Its description in RNAcentral is "Bacillus sp. P16(2019) partial 23S ribosomal RNA". It matches the Rfam family "Bacterial large subunit ribosomal RNA", at positions 2256 to 2925 of the family's 2925-position model. The record is from RNAcentral. Lineage: Bacteria; Bacillati; Bacillota; Bacilli; Caryophanales; Bacillaceae.